AAAAUGCGAUACGUAAUGCGAAUUGCAGAAUUCAGUGAAUCAUCAAAUCUUUGAACGCAAAUUGCGCUCUCGGGAUAGGCCUGGGAGCACGCCUCUUUGAGUAUCGACUCCACAACAACUCGAAGGCGUAUUGCUUUGCGGCAUACGCGGACGGAUACUGAGCGCUCUCGUUGACGCGAGACGCUUGAAACUUAGCGAGUGGCACGAUUUCUAAUUCGACGCUGCGAAUCGCCAGUGACGAGGAUAACUUCACAUUCAGUUGUGGACCCUUCCAUCGUGACUAGCAGACGAGCGUGCGUUUGGUUUAGCAAUCAAUGUGUGCACGGCCCUUCCUUGCUCUGAUCGGCUAGGAAAUGCUUUGAACUAGAUCUCAAAUGAAGCGAGAAAACCCGCUGAACUU
Molecule: unclassified non-coding RNA, 400 nt
Filed under: uncultured fungus
Lineage: Eukaryota; Fungi
Description: sequence contains ITS1
Rfam family: 5.8S ribosomal RNA (bases 1-106)
Source: RNAcentral